Molecule: ribosomal RNA, 425 nt
Filed under: uncultured bacterium
Lineage: Bacteria
Description: partial 16S ribosomal RNA
Rfam family: Bacterial small subunit ribosomal RNA
Source: RNAcentral
UGGGGAAUUUUGGACAAUUGGGCGAAAGCCUGAUCCAGCAAUGCCGCGUGUGUGAAGAAGGCCUUCGGGUUGUAAAGCACUUUUGUCCGGAAAGAAAUCCUUGGCUCUAAUACAGUCGGGGGAUGACGGUACCGGAAGAAUAAGCACCGGCUAACUACGUGCCAGCAGCCGCGGUAAUACGUAGGGUGCAAGCGUUAAUCGGAAUUACUGGGCGUAAAGCGUGCGCAGGCGGUUUGCUAAGACCGAUGUGAAAUCCCCGGGCUCAACCUGGGAACUGCAUUGGUGACUGGCAGGCUAGAGUAUGGCAGAGGGGGGUAGAAUUCCACGUGUAGCAGUGAAAUGCGUAGAGAUGUGGAGGAAUACCGAUGGCGAAGGCAGCCCCUGGCAAGUACUGACGCUCAUGCACGAAAAGCGUGGGGAGCAAA